UAUGAGGGGCCCACCACAAUCCAGCGUUUGAUACAUUUGUGCUGUUUUCCUAAUGAUCCGGGUUUAAUCUUUUCGACCCGGCUUUGUUCCCUGUUGGGGUUGGAAAAAAGGCUAAAAAUAGUCCGUCACUUUCUUAUGGAUUAUAAACCUUAGUCACCGCCUCCAUCUGGAUUAAGGAGCAAAAUGGCUACCGUGCCCCUCCAAUCUGCAAUUUCCACAUCCAAACUUGGAGAGUAAGGAGGCGAUUUAAUUGCUGCAUACGAACCAGCUUGUAAGCAUUCGCCGGCGCAAUUGGGGGUUCUGCGAGUUGCAGAUUAGGGGAUACAAACCUUCUCGAGGGCUAUGGCGAACAGGAUUACAAAAAGUGUUGCCACGCUUCAGCAAGUGGAAGAAAUGGUCCAAACCCUACAAUUUGAUGUAAGCAUUGCUAUUUUGUUGUACCUGAGAAGGAACCGACGGCGUGUGCGUGUGAGUACUCUGCUAAGACGGGCUCGAUUUGGUCGUCGGAAUCGAAUUCCUGCACAAGUGAGGCACCUAAAUCGGCUUAAGGGAGUAUCAGAUAUUGCAUGUUUUGAUAAUCUUCGUAUGGAUCGAAACACAUUUGGACGAUUGUGCUUUCUUCUACGCCAAACAGGGGAGUUAGUCGAUGGUAAGUAUGUGAAGAUAGAAGAACAAGUUGCCAUGUUCUUGUCAGUUCUUGCACACCACAAAAAGAACAGAAUAGUUAAAUUUGACUUCUUGAGGUCCGGGUUCACAGUUUCUAAGUAUGUUCAUGCUGUGCUACGGGCGGUGCUUCGGCUCCAUCGGUCGUUUCUCGUUGUUCCUGAUCCCGUGGCUGAAGACUGCAACGAUAACAGGUGGAAGUGGUUCAAGGUAUUCCCAAAAAUAUGUACAAAUUUUGGUUGAUUUAUGUGUAUAUGGUGGCCUUUGUAAUUGCCACGUGGAUGUUAUAUUGAUUUAUGUGUAUAUGGAGGCCUUUGUAAUUGCUAUGUGGGUGUUAUAUUGAUUUAUGUGUAUACGGAGGCCUCUGUCUCCGUUGCUAUGCGAAAGUUUGAGUGAUAAUGUUGUUGUAGGGGUGACUUGGUGCAUUAGAUGGAACACACAUAAAUUUACAGGUGCUCAACGCCGAUAAGCCUCGUUAUCGUAGCAGGAAAGGUCAAAUUUGCACCAACACUCUUGCGGUCUGUGAUCGGCGGAUGCGAUUUGUAUAUGUCUUGACGGGCUGGGAGGGCUCAGCUGGAGACAGUCGUGUGCUACGCGAUGCUUUGAGUCGUGAUUAGGGAUUGAGAGUACCGAAAGGCAACUACUACCUAUGUGACAAUGGUUAUGCAAACUGUGAGGGGUUCCUAACACCCUAUAAAGGAGUCCGUUACCAUUUAAAAGAAUGGGGUCCUGCAACGGAAGCCCCAAAAAACCCCCAGGAAAUUUUCAACAUGUAUCACACUCGAGCAAGGAAUGUGAUUGAACGUGCGUUUGCCGUACUGAAAAUGCGGUGGGGGAUCUUGAGAAGUGCCUCAUUUUAUCCAGUCGGGGUCCAAACUAAUAUCAUACUUGCUUGCUUCUUGCUCCAUAAUUUUAUACGCUCUGAGAUGGAAUCGGACCCGAUUGAGCUGGCUGUCGCUAACGAAGAAGAUGGAAAUGAAGAAGAUGUGCAGGAUGGUGAUUUCGUGGCUGGUGUAGAACCUUCCCAAGGCUGGACCAAUGCACGUGAUGCUAUGGCAGCGUCAAUGUGGGCUGCGUACAUGGGAGAAGAUGCAUAAGAAUCAAUAGAAUUUGCGGCAUGAAGCUUCACUUUUUGGACUAGAACCGUGUAUUUUUUAAGUUUGUGGAGAAAAUGUAAUCAUAUGCUUGUAUCACUAUUCUGUACUAUGUUUUAUUGACAUAUUUGGAUUUGUGGUUUUAUGUUUGAUGGCUGAUCCGUAUUUGGAGUGGUGCUCUACAAAUUAAACAAGCAAUAUUUAAUUA
This is a long non-coding RNA of Salvia splendens (bonfire salvia), 1965 nucleotides long. RefSeq lists it as uncharacterized. The transcript is spliced from 4 exons. The record is from RefSeq and is a predicted model, not a curated record. NCBI's taxonomy places the organism in Eukaryota, Viridiplantae, Streptophyta, Magnoliopsida, Lamiales, Lamiaceae.